GAUGAACGCUGGCGGCGUGCCUAAUACAUGCAAGUCGAGCGAACAGACGAGGAGCUUGCUCCUCUGACGUUAGCGGCGGACGGGUGAGUAACACGUGGAUAACCUACCUAUAAGACUGGGAUAACUUCGGGAAACCGGAGCUAAUACCGGAUAAUAUAUUGAACCGCAUGGUUCAAUAGUGAAAGACGGUUUUGCUGUCACUUAUAGAUGGAUCCGCGCCGCAUUAGCUAGUUGGUAAGGUAACGGCUUACCAAGGCAACGAUGCGUAGCCGACCUGAGAGGGUGAUCGGCCACACGGGAACUGAGACACGGUCCAGACUCCUACGGGAGGCAGCAGUAGGGAAUCUUCCGCAAGGGGCGAAAGCCUGACGGAGCAACGCCGCGGGAGUGAUGAAGGUCUUCGGAUCGUAAAACUCUGUUAUUAGGGAAGAACAAAUGUGUAAGUAACUAUGCACGUCUUGACGGUACCUAAUCAGAAAGCCACGGCUAACUACGUG
RNAcentral lists this ribosomal RNA (497 nucleotides) under uncultured bacterium. RNAcentral describes it as "partial 16S ribosomal RNA". It matches the Rfam family "Bacterial small subunit ribosomal RNA", at positions 28 to 507 of the family's 1533-position model. The record is from RNAcentral.